GCGAUCAUACGGCACUAAUGCACCGGAUCCCAUCGAACUCCGAGUUAAGCGUCUUUGGGCGAGAGCGAUCUAGGAUGGGUGACCCACAGGAAGUCCUCGUGUUGCACCU
RNAcentral lists this ribosomal RNA (109 nucleotides) under Zingiber officinale. Lineage: Eukaryota; Viridiplantae; Streptophyta; Magnoliopsida; Zingiberales; Zingiberaceae. The record is from RNAcentral.